UCGAUUUUAUGUGACAUCUUUCUGAACCUCCCUGGCUGUCCGAGCUUCCAUAAUACCAUCCGGACUCCUCCAACGGUCGGCCUUCCACAGUGUUCUCCAGAUUCCUUCAGCGGACGAACCUCUAUCGUGCUAUCCGGACUUCUCCAAUAAUGAGCUCCUCCAUUCAUGUACCGGACUGCUCCAAAUACUCUCUGGACUUCGCUUUCAGUCGAUUCUCUACAGUGAUCGACUACUCUUCGAAUCUCUUCCAGACUUCUUCCAGCC
Molecule: long non-coding RNA, 264 nt
Filed under: Elaeis guineensis (African oil palm)
Lineage: Eukaryota; Viridiplantae; Streptophyta; Magnoliopsida; Arecales; Arecaceae
Description: long non-coding RNA (EGUI_LNC000723)
Source: RNAcentral